This 566-nucleotide ribosomal RNA is filed under the name uncultured bacterium. Its description in RNAcentral is "bacterial SSU rRNA". It matches the Rfam family "Bacterial small subunit ribosomal RNA", at positions 334 to 917 of the family's 1533-position model. The record is from RNAcentral.
UACUCCUACGGGAGGCAGCAGUGGGGAAUAUUGGACAAUGGACCGAGAGUCUGAUCCAGCAAUUCUGUGUGCACGAUGAAGUUUUUCGGAAUGUAAAGUGCUUUCAGUUGGGAAGAAACAAAUGACGGUACCAACAGAAGAAGUGACGGCUAAAUACGUGCCAGCAGCCGCGGUAAUACGUAUGUCACGAGCGUUAUCCGGAUUUAUUGGGCGUAAAGCGCGUCUAGGUGGUUAUGUAAGUCUGAUGUGAAAAUGCAGGGCUCAACUCUGUAUUGCGUUGGAAACUGUAUAACUAGAGUACUGGAGAGGUAAGCGGAACUACAAGUGUAGAGGUGAAAUUCGUAGAUAUUUGUAGGAAUGCCGAUGGGGAAGCCAGCUUACUGGACAGAUACUGACGCUGAAGCGCGAAAGCGUGGGUAGCAAACAGGAUUAGAUACCCUGGUAGUCCACGCCGUAAACGAUGAUUACUAGGUGUUGGGGGUCGAACCUCAGCGCCCAAGCAAACGCGAUAAGUAAUCCGCCUGGGGAGUACGUACGCAAGUAUGAAACUCAAAUGAAUUGACGGA